Molecule: ribosomal RNA, 468 nt
Filed under: uncultured bacterium
Lineage: Bacteria
Description: partial 16S ribosomal RNA
Rfam family: Bacterial small subunit ribosomal RNA
Source: RNAcentral
GACGAACGCUGGCGGCGUGCUUAACACAUGCAAGUCGAACGGAAAGGCCCUGCUUUUGUGGGGUGCUCGAGGGGCGAACGGGGGAGUAACACGUGAGUAACCUGCCCUUGACUUUGGGAUAACUUCAGGAAACUGGGGCUAAUACCGGAUAGGAUCUCCUGCUGCAUGGUGGGGGUUGGAAAGUUUCGGCGGUUGGGGAUGGACUCGCGGCUUAUCAGCUUGUUGGUGGGGUAGUGGCUUACCAAGGCUUUGGCGGGUAGCCGGCAGGAGAGGGUGACCGGCCACCUUGCGCCUGAGAUACGGCCCAGACUCCUACGGGAGGCAGCAGUGGGGAAUAUUGCCCAAUGGGCGGACGCCUGAUGAAGAAACGCCGCGUGCGGGAUGACGGCCUUCGGGUUGUAAACCGCUUUCGCCUGUGACGCAGCGUGAGUGACGGUAAUGGGUAAAGAAGCACCGGCUAACUACGUG